GUGUUUCUGGUGUAAUGGUUAGCCUGGAUGCCUUCCAAGCAUUCCACGGGGGUUCGAAUCUUCCCAAACGCA
RNAcentral lists this transfer RNA (72 nucleotides) under Angiostrongylus costaricensis. It matches the Rfam family "tRNA". From Rfam's summary of the family: Transfer RNA (tRNA) molecules are approximately 80 nucleotides in length. Their secondary structure includes four short double-helical elements and three loops (D, anti-codon, and T loops). Further hydrogen bonds mediate the characteristic L-shaped molecular structure. tRNAs have two regions of fundamental functional importance: the anti-codon, which is responsible for specific mRNA codon recognition, and the 3' end, to which the tRNAs corresponding amino acid is attached (by aminoacyl-tRNA synthetases). tRNAs cope with the degeneracy of the genetic code in two manners: having more than one tRNA (with a specific anti-codon) for a particular amino acid; and 'wobble' base-pairing, i.e. permitting non-standard base-pairing at the 3rd anti-codon position. The record is from Rfam by way of RNAcentral. Lineage: Eukaryota; Metazoa; Nematoda; Chromadorea; Rhabditida; Metastrongylidae.